CUUUUUUAAAAUAUCUUUUAUUAAAGCCUAUUUACCACCAUCAGUGAUGCUUCCCCCACGGCGUUUACAGACUCUCCUGCGGCAGGCAGUGGAACUACAAAGGGAUCGGUGCCUAUAUCACAAUACCAAACUUGACAACAAUCUAGAUUCUGUGUCUCUACUCAUAGAUCAUGUUUGUAGUAGGAGGCAGUUUCCCUGUUACACUCAGCAGAUACUGACAGAGCAUUGUAAUGAAGUGUGGUUCUGUAAAUUCUCCAAUGAUGGCACUAAACUCGCAACAGGCUCAAAGGACACCACAGUGAUCGUAUGGCAAGUUGAUGCGGAUACACACCUGUUAAAACUGCUUAAAACGUUAGAAGGACAUGCGUAUGGUGUCUCUUACAUAGCAUGG
RNAcentral lists this long non-coding RNA (391 nucleotides) under Rattus norvegicus (Norway rat). RNAcentral's name for it is "long non-coding RNA NONRATT009065". Lineage: Eukaryota; Metazoa; Chordata; Mammalia; Rodentia; Muridae. The record is from RNAcentral.